This 465-nucleotide ribosomal RNA is filed under the name uncultured bacterium. RNAcentral describes it as "partial 16S ribosomal RNA". It matches the Rfam family "Bacterial small subunit ribosomal RNA", at positions 339 to 795 of the family's 1533-position model. The record is from RNAcentral.
CUACGGGUUGCUGCAGUGGGGAAUAUUGGACAAUGGGGGAAACCCUGAUCCAGCAAUGCCGCGUGUGUGAAGAAGGCCUGCGGGUUGUAAAGCACUUUCGGUUGGGAGGACUGCUUCUAGCACUAAUAUUGUUGGAAGUUGACGUUACCUUCAGAAGAAGCACCGGCUAACUCCGUGCAAGCAGCCGCGGUAAUACGGAGGGUGCAAGCGUUAAUCGGAAUUACUGGGCGUAAAGCGCGCGUAGGCGGCUAGAUCAGUCGGGUGUGAAAGCCCCGGGCUUAACCUGGGAACUGCAUCCGAUACUGUCUAGCUUGAGUACAGGAGAGGAGAGUGGAAUUCCACAUGUAGCGGUGAAAUGCGUAGAUAUGUGGAGGAACACCAAUGGCGAAGGCAGCUCUCUGGCCUGAUACUGACGCUGAGGUGCGAAAACGUGGGGAGCAAACAGGAUUAGAUACCCCUGUAGUC